Molecule: long non-coding RNA, 561 nt
Filed under: Gossypium barbadense (sea-island cotton)
Lineage: Eukaryota; Viridiplantae; Streptophyta; Magnoliopsida; Malvales; Malvaceae
Description: long non-coding RNA (GBAR_LNC021243)
Source: RNAcentral
UUCGAAGUGUUAUUCUCAGAUACGCCAAUCUGAUCCCUCAACAAUGAAAGGUAUUGUCCCUCAAGGAAGGAUUUUAUCUCCCGUGCCGUAUCGAGAGCCGAUGUACCGUGAGUGCUGCCUUGAGAGCUUAGUUCACAGAGUUAGGAAUGCCUCAACUGCACGUGGACAUAAGACCACCCAUUAAGAGGUGGCGUGAGCGCCUUGCUUUUGGUGGAAUUCAAACCCUUGACCUAUGGAAUACAGAGGUUUAAAUCACAUCAAGAAUGAAAUACUCAUGUCGCCUCUUAAUAGGUGGGCAUACGUAAACGUACAACCGAGACGCUCCCGACUCUAUAAACCAAACCCUUAAAACAGUAGCUCACAUCUUAAGUACAAUGCCUCUCAUUGUUGAGGGACCAAAUCAAUGUUCCGAAAACGACACUUCAAAAUAAGUUUUUUCCGAAAGAGCCGAUACCCACAACGGGUAAGAGAUUUUUGCCGCAUUUUCCAUUGAAUUAAUUGCUUUGGCUGAUUGAAAACGGGGGAAAUGGGGACCAUGUUCCCCAAUGAUUUGGAUAGAAC